RNAcentral lists this ribosomal RNA (571 nucleotides) under Aureobasidium pullulans. Its description in RNAcentral is "eukaryotic LSU rRNA". It matches the Rfam family "Eukaryotic large subunit ribosomal RNA", at positions 67 to 655 of the family's 3401-position model. The record is from RNAcentral. Lineage: Eukaryota; Fungi; Ascomycota; Dothideomycetes; Dothideales; Saccotheciaceae.
UACUGCGGUUUGCCCUGUACGGCGAGUGAGCGGCACAGCUCAAUUUGAAAGCUAGCCUUCGGGUCGCAUUGUAAUUCUGUAGAGGAUGAUUUGGGGAAGCCGCCUGUCUAAGUCUCCUUCGGAACAGGACGUCAUAGAGGGUGAGAAUCCCGUAUGUGACAGGAAAUGGCACCCUAUGUAAAUCUCCUUCGACGAGUCGAGUUGUUUGGGAAUGCAGCUCUAAAUGGGAGGUAAAUUUCUUCUAAAGCUAAAUAUUGGCGAGAGACCGAUAGCGCACAAGUAGAGUGAUCGAAAGAUGAAAAGCACUUUGGAAAGAGAGUUAAAAAGCACGUGAAAUUGUUGAAAGGGAAGCGCUUGCAAUCAGACUUGUUUAAACUGUUCGGCCGGUCUUCUGACCGGUUUACUCAGUUUGGACAGGCCAGCAUCAGUUUCGGCGGCCGGAUAAAGGCUCUGGGAAUGUGGCCUCCACUUCGGUGGAGGUGUUAUAGCCCAGGGUGUAAUACGGCCAGCCGGGACUGAGGUCCGCGCUUCGGCUAGGAUGCUGGCGUAAUGGUUGUAAGCGACCCGUCUA